This 375-nucleotide transfer-messenger RNA is filed under the name Chlamydiales (chlamydias). RNAcentral's name for it is "O2-12-FULL-27-8 sp001796155 Standard tmRNA". It matches the Rfam family "transfer-messenger RNA". Rfam says of the family: Bacterial tmRNA, also known as 10Sa RNA or SsrA, is named for its dual tRNA and mRNA-like properties. Its role is to liberate the mRNA from a stalled ribosome. RNAcentral also lists the same sequence under 1 other name. Lineage: Bacteria; Pseudomonadati; Chlamydiota; Chlamydiia. The record is from RNAcentral.
GGGGGUGUAAAGGUUUCGACUUACAAAUAAAGUAUUUAUGGCAUGCAGAGGAUGCUAGUUGGCCUCUUUAAUCAUCUAGCAAAAAACAUAAAAGGCGAAAAUAAUUUUGCUUUAGCGGCAUAAGACCUAAUAGUUUUAUCUGCUCGGUAAUUUAAAAUCUGACCGGGAGUUUUAAAAAUUACCGUCAUAUUUCUUGGUAAGGAUCUUUGUAAUUUUAGCUAUCUAAUGACAAAGUUUCGAGAUUAAAAAAAUAGCAAAACAGUUUUUUAUGUCUGAAUCUUACGUUGAACUGUUUUUAUAAAAAGAUUCUAAGCAUGUAGUCAAAAAUAUCUGAGUUUGAUAAGGACGAGAGUUCGAUUCUCUCCACCUCCAUUU